RNAcentral lists this long non-coding RNA (274 nucleotides) under Lathyrus oleraceus (garden pea). RNAcentral describes it as "Pisum sativum (pea) long non-coding RNA (PSAT_LNC000544)". Lineage: Eukaryota; Viridiplantae; Streptophyta; Magnoliopsida; Fabales; Fabaceae. The record is from RNAcentral.
AAAAUUAAUGUAAGGGGUUGAGUUGUGAGUGUAGAAGAUGAAAGGAUUAGGAUAAAAUGAAAUGAGAAGAAAGUUGUGGGUGGUUUUUUGAGAAGAGGUGUUUGUGUGAGUUUGGGUUUAGGUUUAAAGAUAAAGCUUGAGUACGAAUUUGGAAGAAUUUUUAGGGGCUGCUAGAUUGCGAAAAUGAGGGGGAAAGGUGUUCUAUUUAUAGGGCAAGCACAUGGGUUGGUGUGUGUGAAAGUUGGAGUUCACUUGUGUAAAAAAACGUUAUUGU